GCCCCCGUAGUUCAAUGGAUAGAACUCCGCACUCCUAACGCGGUAAUCCAGGUUCGACUCCUGGCGAGGGCA
Molecule: transfer RNA, 72 nt
Filed under: Minisyncoccota bacterium
Lineage: Bacteria; Bacillati; Minisyncoccota
Description: tRNA-Arg
Rfam family: tRNA
About the family: Transfer RNA (tRNA) molecules are approximately 80 nucleotides in length. Their secondary structure includes four short double-helical elements and three loops (D, anti-codon, and T loops). Further hydrogen bonds mediate the characteristic L-shaped molecular structure. tRNAs have two regions of fundamental functional importance: the anti-codon, which is responsible for specific mRNA codon recognition, and the 3' end, to which the tRNAs corresponding amino acid is attached (by aminoacyl-tRNA synthetases). tRNAs cope with the degeneracy of the genetic code in two manners: having more than one tRNA (with a specific anti-codon) for a particular amino acid; and 'wobble' base-pairing, i.e. permitting non-standard base-pairing at the 3rd anti-codon position.
Source: RNAcentral